CUUCACCAUCAUGACCAUUAAACCAAGAAGUGGGCUGCAGGAAGCACCAGUUCUGUUCAGACAUCAGGGAGGGAACACAGGAAUUGAGGAAGGGGAGAUGGAGGGUCUUGAGGUCAGUUCUCAGAAGACAAGAAUAUGAGGAGGUGCUAGGAGGAGCCUUCGGGGUGAUAGCGGUGCAAUGGCAAGGAGAGGAAUGUCCAUCAGCAUCAAGGUUUCUCAGGAGGCAGAGCACAGUGUGCCCUCAUUUCCCCCUGAAGCCCUACAGGACGUUGCCCUGUAGCAAUGCUUCACACAGACCGCUCCUGGACUGGCACUACAGCCCUGCAGAGAGCUUAGCUGGAGAAACACAGCCCUGAUCAGCCUAUCCAUGGCCUCGUGGAUGGAGAUCUUCUGUCCCUGGCGUUUGCACCAUCAUCACCAUCAUCGCCGCUCCUGAUGAAGCUGGACAUCCUCCCCUCCCUCACCUGCACCUCCCUGCAGUGACUCACAGCAGCAUCAGAUUGAGACUGGGCAGUGUGAGGAGGAAAACAUUCCAUCCACCCCCUCCUGUGCCUCAGGGACGCAUCAGAGGGCACUGAGGACACGUCGGAGGGGUGGGGGUGUCAGGGUAGGCUCUCCUUUUGGACAGGGAGGUACAGAGAUAAGGUGCUCUGGUCUGGGAGUUGCUGACCAGUGUGGGAAAAGGCUACCAUCCAACCAACCAGCCGAAGUAGGACCUGCCCUCCACGACAUGCUCUUCUGGCUGAGAAGAGCCGGGGGUAGGUUUACAGAAAGGGAUUUAUAUGGAUGGAGAGGAGGAUGGUUAAAGCCAGCGUUGGUGUCUUGCUUUGGGGUGUACAGAGAGUGUUGGUGCAGAGCUUGUAGAGCGAGGGAGCGUGGCUGCACAAAUCACAGAUUUCAUCACAGACACCAGGAGACAAUUAUUCCAUACAUGGAUAAAAAUAAGUGUUUUCUGCAGCAAACAGCCCUACUGGAAGCGCUGCCAAGCUCUCCAGCCUGUGCCCACCCACUGCAAAUCCUGUUGGAAAAUUACGGAGGAACGUGCAUUUGUUUGUCAGGGUGAGGUGGUCUGUUCUGGAGAUCUGCAGUAUCCGUGGUCAUCCUGGGAAAGAUACAUAAAUGGUCACCCUAAGAAAGAUAUUCUCUCACCACGCUGCGAGCUGUGCGGACGAUGCUCUGACCUUUCUGCCUUUGGUGUUCAUGCCUGGCUAAAUCGCUCCGUUAAUUAAGCUAGAGCUAAGACUUUUCUGAAUUAAUGACCUAGCUGGGAGCUCCAGAGUGCCUUGCCUGCAGGCGAAGCCUUCGGAUGUACCCAUGGAUAACCAUCCUUUCAACAGCAUCUCUGCAGCAUCUGUCUUGCACCAUGGCUUUAGUAGAGCAUUGUGGUUUUGAUGUCACUGGGCUACAUGUAGAGCAAGGGAUGCUUUGGGGAUGUGGUACAACUGAGCCAAAACCAAGACCAACUGUGGCCACUGAGGUUUUUUUUUUUGCCAUGUGGAUUCUCCAGUGCCUCUAUGGGUCGUGCUCAAGGGUUGGGCUCGUAUUUGAGCCCAUUGGGUCGAUGAUGUCUUCUCUUUCUCCACACCCUGUUUUCCAAAGCUUGGAGAUGGCCCAACACUUGUGGCUGAAAUUGGUCAUAGGCUCCCAGAGUGGGUUGGAUGGGGAGGAAGAUGCAGAAAGUGAGCCCACCUGAGCCCCGUUCUCCCUUUGCAGGAGAGGCAGGAAGGCUGCAUGGCACUGCACCGCUGCCCAUCUCCGACCAUGAAAGAUUACAGCACGUCCUGAGCAGAAGGACUGUAGGAGUCAAUCCCUUGUAAGCCUUUCUAUUUAAAGGAAUAAACUACCCAGAAAAAGCAGGCUAAGAUUAGAAACUCACAGGAUUUCCUCAAGUUCCAGCCAUCAGGGGAUGGUUCAUGCUUCUCCCAGUGCUCAAAGCCUGCGCCCCAGCAGAGCUAAGCACAGAUUAUGUUCUGCAGCUCCAUCACAGAGCCAAAGCCCACGUUCAAAGCUAGUUUAAUGCUGCUCCCUCUCUUUUUAAACCCUCUCUGGCACUGCUUGGUUGACAAAUGGUUUUUCAUGCAGGAGUGUAUUGGCUUUGCUGGAGAGGCGCGAGCAGGGGAUGCUUCCUGUGAAAUGCAUGCAGUAAGCAUCUCCUUGCCGUGUACAAAAUGCUUUUUGUGUCCUGGGAUGUGCUGGGGGUUUGGCACUCGGACUGUUCUGUCCUGAAACCAAAAUAAUAAUACUAGAUGAAACCAGGGAUUUAGAUAAAAAGAAAACAACCAUCAUGCACUUUGUGCCUUACUGGUUGGAGAUGGGGCAGUCGUUUGGGGUGCAGGGUUGGUUCCUGGCUCUGCUGCUCCUCUCCAGCCUGGGAGAAAUUCCAGCCUAAAGGAUCUCCCCUUAGAGCAGAAAAAGUCAAGCAUAAAUACUGAACCCUGGUAAGCACCAUGCAGCUGUGCAUGCAAGGGCAAGUCCAACCAAACAGCAAGUUCUGAAGGAAACCAUUUUUGGCCAAUAAAAAUAAGUCAUGACAACAGAUUGCUCUCACUUCUCUGUUUUAGGGUGCAGCAUUCCCACCCCAAAAGCAGGGACAGGGGGACCUGAGAGGUGCUGCAGCCUCCCUGGGGA
Molecule: long non-coding RNA, 2628 nt
Organism: Gallus gallus (chicken)
Lineage: Eukaryota; Metazoa; Chordata; Aves; Galliformes; Phasianidae
Source: Ensembl